This 360-nucleotide long non-coding RNA is filed under the name Elaeis guineensis (African oil palm). RNAcentral's name for it is "long non-coding RNA (EGUI_LNC056342)". Lineage: Eukaryota; Viridiplantae; Streptophyta; Magnoliopsida; Arecales; Arecaceae. The record is from RNAcentral.
CAGCAUAGCAGAUGCGUAAUGGGCAGUUUGUCCAUGAUAGAUGAUCAAAGACAUUGAAGAGCUUGAAAAGCUCGACAUGAUCAUGCAUAAGAAAUUACUAAUGAAUUAGAUCCUAUAAUUUUUAAUUCAUACAAAUAGUUUAUAAAAUUAUUAUAUGAAUAAAUAUCAUAGCACCUUAACUGAAUUGAUCGAUAUGCUGGUAACUAAGAGAUCUUAAAAAGUUCAGAGGUACAUACCUGAAGAACCUAAAAAAAUAUUGACAUGCUUUUGGAAAGUAUGUCGAAUUGUUCAAAAUUGAACUUACGAUUUUCUCUUUUUAUUAGACUUUAGUAUAUAUUAUGUACUUUAAUAUAAGGUCUA